AAAGCACUUUCAGUGGGGAGGAGGUUUGGCAGGUUAAGAGCUGGCUAAAUGGACGUUACCCACAGAAGAAGCACCGGCUAACUCCGUGCCAGCAGCCGCGGUAAUACGGAGGGUGCGAGCGUUAAUCGGAAUUACUGGGCGUAAAGGGUGCGUAGGUGGUUGAUUAAGUUGGCUGUAAAAUUCCCGGGCUUAACCUGGGGCGGUCAUCCAAUACUGAUUGACUCGAGUAUGGGAGAGGGUAGUGGAAUUUCCGGUGUAGCGGUGAAAUGCGUAGAGAUCGGAAGGAACACCAGUGGCGAAGGCGGCUACCUGGCCCAAUACUGACACUGAGGCACGAAAGCGUGGGGAGCAAACAGGAUUAGAUACCCUGGUAGUCCACGCUGUAAACGAUGUCAACUAGCUGUUGGCCAUAU
This 413-nucleotide ribosomal RNA is filed under the name uncultured Legionella sp. RNAcentral's name for it is "bacterial SSU rRNA". It matches the Rfam family "Bacterial small subunit ribosomal RNA", at positions 427 to 832 of the family's 1533-position model. Lineage: Bacteria; Pseudomonadati; Pseudomonadota; Gammaproteobacteria; Legionellales; Legionellaceae. The record is from RNAcentral.